This 372-nucleotide ribosomal RNA is filed under the name uncultured organism. RNAcentral's name for it is "partial 16S ribosomal RNA". It matches the Rfam family "Bacterial small subunit ribosomal RNA", at positions 527 to 896 of the family's 1533-position model. The record is from RNAcentral.
GUACUGUGCAAACGUUAUUCGGAAUCACUGGGCUUAAAGGGGGGUGCGUAGGCGGUUAGAUAAGUAGGAUGUGAAAUCCCCCGGCCCAACCGGGGAACUGCGUUCUAAACUGUCUGACUUGAGUAAGAUAGGGGUGUGCGGAACUUCCAGUGGAGCGGUGAAAUGUGUUGAUAUUGGAAGGAACGCCGGUGGCGAAAGCGGCACACUGGGUCUUAACUGACGCUGAGGCACGAAAGCUAGGGUAGCGAACGGGAUUAGAUACCCCGGUAGUCCUAGCUGUAAACGAUGAGCACUAGACGGGAGGGGCUUCGGCCUUUCCGGUUGCAGCGAAAGCAUUAAGUGCUCCGCCUGGGGAGUAUGGUCGCAAGGCUG